AACGAACGCUGGCGGCGCGCCUAAUACAUGCAAGUCGAGCGAGAAGACGUAGCAAUACGUUUGUAAAGCGGCGAACGGGUGAGGAAUACAUGGGGUAACCUACCCUCGAGUGGGGAAUAACUAGCCGAAAGGUUAGCUAAUACCGCGUACGCUCCUUGGACUUCGGUUCAGGGAGGAAAGCGAUACCGUGGGUAUCGCGCUCUUGGAUGGGCUCAUGUCCUAUCAGCUUGUUGGUGAGGAACGGCUCACCAAGGCUUCGACGGGUAGCUGGUCUGAGAGGACGAUCAGCCACACUGGCACUGCGACACGGGCCAGACUCCUACGGGGAGGCAGCAGUAAGGAAUAUUGCGCAAUGGGCGAAAGCCUGACGCAGCGACGCCGCGUGGGGGAUGAAGGUCUUC
RNAcentral lists this ribosomal RNA (401 nucleotides) under uncultured bacterium. Its description in RNAcentral is "bacterial SSU rRNA". It matches the Rfam family "Bacterial small subunit ribosomal RNA", at positions 29 to 419 of the family's 1533-position model. The record is from RNAcentral.